GCAAGUCGAACGGAAAGGCCCUGCUUUUGUGGCUUGCUCGAGUGGCGAACGGGUGAGUAACACGUGAGUAACCUCCUCUUGACUUUGGGAUAACUUCAGGAAACUGGUUCUAAUACCGGAUAGUAGCUCCUACUGCUCUGUGGGGGUUGGAAAGUUUCGGCGGUAGGGGAUGGAUUCGCGGCUUAUCAGCUAGUGGUAGGGUAGUGGCUUACCAUGGCAUUGACGGGUAGGCGGCCUGAGAGGGUGAGC
RNAcentral lists this ribosomal RNA (249 nucleotides) under uncultured bacterium. RNAcentral's name for it is "partial 16S ribosomal RNA". It matches the Rfam family "Bacterial small subunit ribosomal RNA", at positions 57 to 305 of the family's 1533-position model. The record is from RNAcentral.